AGAGUGCGUAAUAGCUCACUAGUCGAGAGGUCCUGCGCCGAAAAUUUCCGGGGCUAAAACACGAUACCGAAGCUUAGGAAUGUAGCAAUACAUUGGUAGAGGAGCAAUCUCAGAGUGCCGAAGCGUUACCGUAAGGAAGCGUGGAGUUCUGAGAAGAGAGAAUGCCGGAAUGAGUAGCGAGAAUGAUGUGAGAAUCAUCAUGGCCGAAUAUCCAAGGAUUCCAGGGUAAAGCUGAUCUGCCCUGGGUAAGUCGGGACCUAAGGCGAGGGAGAAAUCCGUAGUCGAUGGACAGCAGGUUCAUAUUCCUGCACCUGACAUGAUCAGAACUGUGGGGACACAGGAACAAAACCGGACCCGGGAGAGCAAAGACCGGGCGAAGCGAAGCUAGGAGUGCGGUAGGCAAAUCCGCCGCACAAUCCGAAAGCGUGAUAGGGAGCGAAAAAUAAGUAGCGAAGCCGGUGGAGGGACUGUCGAGAAAAGCCGCUAUUGUAUCAUGUCAGCCCGUACCGCAAACCGACACAGGUGGAUGAGGAGAGAAUCCUAAGGCCGGCGGGAGAAGCAUUGUUAAGGAACUCGGCAAAAUGACCCCGUAACUUCGGGAGAAGGGGUGCUGCAGAGAUGCAGCCGCAGAGAAAAGGCUCAAGCAACUGUUUAGCAAAAACACAGGUCUAUGCGAAACCGUAAGGUGAGGUAUAUGGGCUGACGCCUGCCCGGUGCUGGAAGGUUAAGAGGAGAGGUUAGCGCAAGCGAAGCUUUGAAUUUAAGCCCCAGUAAACGGCGGCCGUAACUAUAACGGUCCUAAGGUAGCGAAAUUCCUUGUCGGGUAAGUUCCGACCCGCACGAAAGGCGUAAUGAUUUGAGCGCUGUCUCAACAAUGCACCCGGUGAAAUUGAAGUACCAGUGAAGAUGCUGGUGACCUGCGCCAGGACGGAAAGACCCCAUGGAGCUUUACUCCAGCUUGAUACCGGGAUUCGGUGUUACUCGUACAGGAUAGGUGGGAGGCUAAGAAGGAAGGACGCCAGUCUUUCCGGAGCCGCUGUUGGGAUACCACCCCUGUGGCACUGGAUUUCUAACCUACAUCCGUAAUCCGGAUGGGGGACAAUGUCAGGUGGGGAGUUUGACUGGGGCGGUCGCCUCCGAAAGAGUAUCGGAGGCGCUCAAAGGUUCCCUCAGAAUGGUUGGAAACCAUUCGAAGAGCGCAAAGGCAGAAGGGAGCUUGACUGCGACACCGACGGGUGGAGCAGGUACGAAAGUAGGACUUAGUGAUCCGGUGGUAUAAAGUGGGAUUGCCAUCGCUCAACGGAUAAAAGCUACCCUGGGGAUAACAGGCUUAUCACUCCCAAGAGUUCACAUCGACGGAGUGGUUUGGCACCUCGAUGUCGGCUCAUCGCAUCCUGGGGCUGAAGUCGGUCCCAAGGGUUGGGCUGUUCGCCCAUUAAAGCGGUACGCGAGCUGGGUUCAGAACGUCGUGAGACAGUUCGGUCCCUAUCCGGCGCGGGCGUAAGAUAUCUGAGAGGAGCUGUCCUUAGUACGAGAGGACCGGGAUGGACUGACCACUGGUGCACCGGUUGGGGAGCAACCCCAUGGCCGGGUAGCCAAGUCGGGACGGGAUAAACGCUGAAGGCAUCUAAGCGUGAAGCCCCCCUCAAGAUGGGAUAUCUCAUGCGAAAGCGGUAAGACCCCUUGA
RNAcentral lists this ribosomal RNA (1687 nucleotides) under human oral metagenome. RNAcentral describes it as "bacterial LSU rRNA". It matches the Rfam family "Bacterial large subunit ribosomal RNA", at positions 1127 to 2841 of the family's 2925-position model. The record is from RNAcentral.